UGGGGAAUUUUGGACAAUGGGGGCAACCCUGAUCCAGCAAUGCCGCGUGUGUGAAGAAGGCCUUCGGGUUGUAAAGCACUUUUGUCCGGAAAGAAAACGCCGUGGUUAAUACCCGUGGCGGAUGACGGUACCGGAAGAAUAAGCACCGGCUAACUACGUGCCAGCAGCCGCGGUAAUACGUAGGGUGCAAGCGUUAAUCGGAAUUACUGGGCGUAAAGCGUGCGCAGGCGGUCCGCUAAGACAGAUGUGAAAUCCCCGGGCUUAACCUGGGAACUGCAUUUGUGACUGGCGGGCUAGAGUAUGGCAGAGGGGGGUAGAAUUCCACGUGUAGCAGUGAAACGCGUAGAGAUGUGGAGGAAUACCGAUGGCGAAGGCAGCCCCCUGGGCCAAUACUGACGCUCAUGCACGAAAGCGUGGGGAGCAAACAGGAUUAGAUACCCUGGUAGUCCACGCCCUAAACGAUGUCAACUAGUUGUCGGGUCUUCAUUGACUUGGUAACGUAGCUAACGCGUGAAGUUGACCGCCUGGGGAGUACGGUCGCAAGAUUAAAACUCAAAUGAAUUGACGGGGUCAUAGC
RNAcentral lists this ribosomal RNA (577 nucleotides) under uncultured bacterium. RNAcentral's name for it is "partial 16S ribosomal RNA". It matches the Rfam family "Bacterial small subunit ribosomal RNA", at positions 355 to 925 of the family's 1533-position model. The record is from RNAcentral.